UCUACCAUGCUACAUUGCCUUCAGUUAUGUUCCAGAUCUACAUACAUGUAGGAUACUCAUAUUUAUCAGUUGGAUUGUUAUACUAAAGUUCCUCAAAAUGCAGGUGAAGGCUUCUUUUGAAGACCCGCUUCAGGGACAAGCACUAGAAUGUCACUUAGUGAUUUUUGAAAGUUUUCCUGGCAUUUUUCAUUCCUUGCAAUGUUGACCCCAAAGCUCGUAACCAUUAAGAAUUUAACGUAAAGACCCUCCAAACUGCUGCCGUGACGAUUUCCUGACUUUUACCUAUUCAUCCACGGACAUAUGGCUGAUGCCGACGCCUUUGCAGGGCUAACUCUUAUGAAUUAACUAUUCCUAAAUACGGUUUGGGCGAACUUGAUUCAAGUCUUG
Non-coding RNA from Pocillopora verrucosa, 387 nucleotides. The record is from RefSeq and is a predicted model, not a curated record. Lineage: Eukaryota; Metazoa; Cnidaria; Anthozoa; Scleractinia; Pocilloporidae.